AAACCAUGAGUUGGAAACUUCUGUAGAUAUUCUUUAAAUCUCUUCCAAGCUUCGUAUAAUUAUUCCUCCGGUUGCUGCUUGAAAUCAUAGAUUUUGUCACGGAUCUC
This is a small nucleolar RNA of Lycium ferocissimum, 107 nucleotides long. NCBI's taxonomy places the organism in Eukaryota, Viridiplantae, Streptophyta, Magnoliopsida, Solanales, Solanaceae. The record is from RefSeq and is a predicted model, not a curated record.